GAGGAAUAUUGGUCAAUGGGCGCAGGCCUGAACCAGCCAAGUAGCGUGAAGGAUGACUGCCCUAUGGGUUGUAAACUUCUUUUAUAUGGGAAUAAAGUUUUCCACGUGUGGAAUUUUGUAUGUACCAUAUGAAUAAGGAUCGGCUAACUCCGUGCCAGCAGCCGCGGUAAUACGGAGGAUCCGAGCGUUAUCCGGAUUUAUUGGGUUUAAAGGGAGCGUAGGUGGAUAGUUAAGUCAGUUGUGAAAGUUUGCGGCUCAACCGUAAAAUUGCAGUUGAUACUGGCUGUCUUGAGUACAGUAGAGGUGGGCGGAAUUCGUGGUGUAGCGGUGAAAUGCUUAGAUAUCACGAAGAACUCCGAUUGCGAAGGCAGCUCACUGGACUGCAACUGACACUGAUGCUCGAAAGUGUGGGUAUCAAACAGGAUUAGAUACCCUGGUAGUCCACACAGUAAACGAUGAAUACUCGCUGUUUGCGAUAUACAGUAAGCGGCCAAGCGAAAGCAUUAAGUAUUCCACCUGGGGAGUACGCCGGCAACGGUGAAACUCAAAGGAAUUGACGGGGGCCCGCACAAGCGGAGGAACAUGUGGUUUAAUUCGAUGAUACGCGAGGAACCUUACCCGGGCUUAAAUUGCAUUUGAAUAUAUUGGAAACAGUAUAGCCGUAAGGCAAAUGUGAAGGUGCUGCAUGGUUGUCGUCAGCUCGUGCCGUGAGGUGUCGGCUUAAGUGCCAUAACGAGCGCAACCCUUAUCUUUAGUUACUAACAGGUCAUGCUGAGGACUCUAGAGAGACUGCCGUCGUAAGAUGUGAGGAAGGUGGGGAUGACGUCAAAUCAGCACGGCCCUUACGUCCGGGGCUACACACGUGUUACAAUGGGGGGUACAGAAGGCAGCUACCUGGUGACAGGAUGCUAAUCCCAAAAGCCUCUCUCAGUUCGGAUCGAAGUCUGCAACCCGACUUCGUGAAGCUGGAUUCGCUAGUAAUCGCGCAUCAGCCAUGGCGCGGUGAAUACGUUCCCG
This 1017-nucleotide ribosomal RNA is filed under the name uncultured organism. Its description in RNAcentral is "bacterial SSU rRNA". It matches the Rfam family "Bacterial small subunit ribosomal RNA", at positions 356 to 1376 of the family's 1533-position model. The record is from RNAcentral.